This 783-nucleotide ribosomal RNA is filed under the name uncultured bacterium. RNAcentral's name for it is "bacterial SSU rRNA". It matches the Rfam family "Bacterial small subunit ribosomal RNA", at positions 8 to 796 of the family's 1533-position model. The record is from RNAcentral.
AGAGUUUGAUCAUGGCUCAGGACGAACGCUGGCGGCGUGCUUAACACAUGCAAGUCGAACGGAAAGGUCUCUUCGGAGAUACUCGAGUGGCGAACGGGUGAGUAACACGUGGGUAAUCUGCCCUGCACUUCGGGAUAAGCCUGGGAAACUGGGUCUAAUACCGAAUAGGACCAUAAGGCGCAUGCCUAUUGGUGGAAAGUUUUUGCGGUGUGGGAUGGGCCCGCGGCCUAUCAGCUUGUUGGUGGGGUGACGGCCUACCAAGGCGACGACGGGUAGCCGGCCUGAGAGGGUGUCCGGCCACACUGGGACUGAGAUACGGCCCAGACUCCUACGGGAGGCAGCAGUGGGGAAUAUUGCACAAUGGGCGCAAGCCUGAUGCAGCGACGCCGCGUGGGGGAUGACGGCCUUCGGGUUGUAAACCUCUUUCACCAUCGACGAAGGUCCGGGUUUUCUCGGAUUGACGGUAGGUGGAGAAGAAGCACCGGCCAACUACGUGCCAGCAGCCGCGGUAAUACGUAGGGUGCGAGCGUUGUCCGGAAUUACUGGGCGUAAAGAGCUCGUAGGUGGUUUGUCGCGUUGUUCGUGAAAUCUCACGGCUUAACUGUGAGCGUGCGGGCGAUACGGGCAGACUGGAGUACUGCAGGGGAGACUGGAAUUCCUGGUGUAGCGGGAAUGCGCAGAUAUCAGGAGGAACACCGGUGGCGAAGGCGGGUCUCUGGGCAGUAACUGACACUGAGGAGCGAAAGCGUGGGGAGCGAACAGGAUUAGAUACCCCUGUAGUCC